UACGAGAGGCCCAAACGUUAUUCGGAUUCACUGGGCUUAAAGAGUUCGUAGGCGGUCUGGAAAGUUGGGUGUGAAAGCCCUCGGCUCAACCGAGGGACUGCGCUCAAAACUACCAGACUUGAGGGAGAUAGAGGUGGGCGGAACUGAUGGUGGAGCGGUGAAAUGCGUUGAUAUCAUCAGGAACACCGGAGGCGAAGGCGGCUCACUGGGUCUCUACUGACGCUGAGGAACGAAAGCUAGGGGAGCAAACGGG
This 253-nucleotide ribosomal RNA is filed under the name uncultured bacterium. RNAcentral describes it as "partial 16S ribosomal RNA". It matches the Rfam family "Bacterial small subunit ribosomal RNA", at positions 524 to 776 of the family's 1533-position model. The record is from RNAcentral.